Gambusia affinis (western mosquitofish) is the source of this 955-nucleotide long non-coding RNA. RefSeq lists it as uncharacterized. The transcript is spliced from 2 exons. NCBI's taxonomy places the organism in Eukaryota, Metazoa, Chordata, Actinopteri, Cyprinodontiformes, Poeciliidae. The record is from RefSeq and is a predicted model, not a curated record.
ACGCACAGGCGACGGCUGUGAUGGACAACAAACUGCUGGUGGUUAAUUUCUGCUUUAAGAAAACGACAUGAAGGGACGAAGGAGAAGAUUAUUGUUGUGCUCAAGUUGUGCUAAAAGGAGUUAGCCUGUCAGUGAAGCUGUUAAACCUAAAUUAGCAUCUUAAUGCUAACAUACGGCAGCAGCACAGAUGCUAACGCUAAUGCUAGCAUCCGCAGUCCAUGUUUCUUUGCACCAAUCUGAUGGUUGAAUAACCUAAAUAACAGAUUCAAAACAAUCACUGAGCAGAGCUUCAUAUCCAUGAGUGGUGAUGCUGCAGAACGGCUGACAUCAGCGCUCUGCUGUGGACGACCUUCGACCCUCUACCUCUGCUGCAGCUGAUAUUUUUAGAAACGCAGGAUAAAUUUAAAACCUUUAGUAAUUUUUCCAAAUGAACCUUUCAUCUUGCAAGGUUGGACACUUCAGAUCGACUCGGAGGGAAUCCUUUGGUUCCAAAGCACUUAAAAUCUGUUUAAAUUAAUGAGAAUAAAGAUAAGUAGCAUUGUAAUAUGAUGAAAAUGUCAUAUUGUUAAAAUAAUAAAAGCUACAUUUUGAGUCCUUUAAGUCGGGAAGCUAAACAGACCAGGCAGCAGGAAACUUCUCCCCAUUUCUUUGUGUUUUUUUUAAUGCAGAAGUUUUGUCACAUUUCUUUCUGUUUUAAACUUCAGACUUCAAAGUUGGUCUUGACCAACAUUUUCCUGUUUUUCUCAACGUUUUAAUUUGGACUUUUUAUUUCAGGGUAUAUUCAGACCAGGAAGGGCAUUUGGUCCGAACCAAAAGCAGGUUUAAUUUUUUUCUGUUUGCUGCUGUUUGCUUUAACAUUUAGGUUUUUUUGCAAACAAAUUAAAGUAUGUAAAUGCAGUUACAGUUAUGUUAUGUCGGUUGUUAUGACAACACUAUUAAAGCAGAUAUUACCGGU